GGGUAGCAGACAAUAAGGGAGGACAAAAAAUAGAGCAAGGAUAUUCUAAGAAUAAAAAGAGAAUGAAUAACAAGCAAAAAUGGCUUACAAGGAGGAAUAAAUACAAAAAGGAUAAAUAUGGGCAUAUUCUCGGGGAGGUGGAUGAAAAUAAAGAAGAUGGUGUCUAAGUUUCUAAUGAGUUUGAAGCAUUACAAAAUGAUGGUGAAGAAGGAGAUGUUAUUGAAGCACAAUAGAAGGAGGGCAUGAAGAGUGAUACCAUAAAGAAAGAAAGCACCAAAGAUUGGGUUAAUAGUUCCUUUGGUAAAGAUCAGGGGAAAUAAAAUACUCAAGAUGAAGACAAUGAG
This 344-nucleotide long non-coding RNA is filed under the name Capsicum annuum. Its description in RNAcentral is "long non-coding RNA (CANN_LNC011272)". The record is from RNAcentral. Lineage: Eukaryota; Viridiplantae; Streptophyta; Magnoliopsida; Solanales; Solanaceae.